GUGCUUAACACAUGCAAGUCGAACGAACCUUCGGGUUAGUGGCGGACGGGUGAGUAACGCGUGAGAAUCUGCCCUCAGGAGGGGGAUAACGGCUGGAAACGGCCGCUAAUACCCCAUAUGCCGCGAGGUGAAAUGAAUUUCGCCUGAGGAUGAGCUCGCGUCUGAUUAGCUAGUUGGUGGGGUAAAGGCCUACCAAGGCAUCGAUCAGUAGCUGGUCUGAGAGGAUGAUCAGCCACACUGGGACUGAGACACGGCCCAGACUCCUACGGGAGGCAGCAGUGGGGAAUUUUCCGCAAUGGGCGAAAGCCUGACGGAGCAACGCCGCGUGAGGGAUGAAGGCCUCUGGGCUGUAAACCUCUUUUAUCAAGGAAGAAGAUCUGACGGUACUUGA
This 391-nucleotide ribosomal RNA is filed under the name uncultured Synechococcus sp. RNAcentral describes it as "bacterial SSU rRNA". It matches the Rfam family "Bacterial small subunit ribosomal RNA", at positions 44 to 482 of the family's 1533-position model. Lineage: Bacteria; Bacillati; Cyanobacteriota; Cyanophyceae; Synechococcales; Synechococcaceae. The record is from RNAcentral.